CGCUCGCGCCGGCACGGCGAAGCCUCGCUGUGCUCGUUUUGGCCUCGCGCGAAGCGUCCCAGAACUCGAUUCUGUCACGGCGCGCGCGUACGAGCCGCGAGCGGUUGUGACGUCACCGCCCAGGCGCAGACAAGGAACUGCGCAGGCGCAGACAAGGAACUGCGCGGGCCUUGAGGGCUCGGCAGUGCGCAGGCGCGCUCAUGCGUUGGGCCGCACCCCCCCCCCAGAGUUCCGCGCGCGCGUCCUCGACGCUGCGGGGGAGCUGGGCUGACCGGGUAUAAGCUGCUCCCCGGAGGCGGGAGAUUCCCCCGGAGGCCGGAGGCCGGGCGGCGGUGGGCAGUGCAGCAGCCGAGCGGGUUUACCAGGGCUGUCGGCGGCGAGCUGGGACUGACUCUGGCUGUGGCCACUCCUUUGGCAUUCUUCCUGGCUGCCCUGCAGAGCCCCAGCCUCCUGUAGCUCCCUCCCUGUCCCAUGCUCACACUGGCCCCUGUCUUGUGGAAGGGUCUGAGGAGCUUGGUGGUAUGUGGCCCUGGUCCUCCUGCCACCGUGGUGGAGCUGAGCAUAGCCAGGGAGCGUUGGAAACUUCCCAGCAGCAGCUGCCGCACAUCCUGGGUGGCUUGUCCCUGACUUGCCCCUUCAUGCCUUCCUUAUAUGAGUCUCUGUUCCUCCUCCACCUGCCAACCUCUGCUCACCCUUCAAGACCCCUCUGGAAGAUCCCUGCCUCUGCGAGGUUGCCUUCAGCCUCCCUGUCACCACCUCCCUGGCCCCCAGGCUCCCUGGGUUCCUCUUCUAUCCCAGGAGGACCUGACCACAGCUGGGCCCUCCCAGUGUGCCCUGUGCAGCUCAGCGGCCUGCCCGAAAGGCCCUCCAGCAGCUUAUCUUGCUGUGGAAAGGUAGCUAGGGUCCCCACCUCGGUCCUCACUCCUCCCAGUGUAGCUCUGAGCCCAGGCCUGGCGCCACCUGCUGAGAAGUGGGGAUGGGGCUGGGGAGGGGCGCCAGUGCAAGGGAGGCCUUCAGCCUGGGCUGGGAACUCGGCACAGGCAGGAUGGACGCUCACAUGUGCAGGGCCUGUGGCUACUUAG
Molecule: long non-coding RNA, 1082 nt
Filed under: Urocitellus parryii (Arctic ground squirrel)
Lineage: Eukaryota; Metazoa; Chordata; Mammalia; Rodentia; Sciuridae
Description: lncRNA (ENSUPAG00010007282.1)
Source: RNAcentral